Molecule: transfer RNA, 67 nt
Filed under: Pachycrepoideus vindemmiae
Lineage: Eukaryota; Metazoa; Arthropoda; Insecta; Hymenoptera; Pteromalidae
Description: tRNA-Met
Rfam family: tRNA
About the family: Transfer RNA (tRNA) molecules are approximately 80 nucleotides in length. Their secondary structure includes four short double-helical elements and three loops (D, anti-codon, and T loops). Further hydrogen bonds mediate the characteristic L-shaped molecular structure. tRNAs have two regions of fundamental functional importance: the anti-codon, which is responsible for specific mRNA codon recognition, and the 3' end, to which the tRNAs corresponding amino acid is attached (by aminoacyl-tRNA synthetases). tRNAs cope with the degeneracy of the genetic code in two manners: having more than one tRNA (with a specific anti-codon) for a particular amino acid; and 'wobble' base-pairing, i.e. permitting non-standard base-pairing at the 3rd anti-codon position.
Source: RNAcentral
AUUAAAAUAGACUAAGGUAAAGUUAUUAGACUCAUAAUCUAAAGAUAUAAAUUUAUUAUUUUUAAUA